This 461-nucleotide ribosomal RNA is filed under the name uncultured bacterium. Its description in RNAcentral is "bacterial SSU rRNA". It matches the Rfam family "Bacterial small subunit ribosomal RNA", at positions 29 to 507 of the family's 1533-position model. The record is from RNAcentral.
AACGAACGCUGGCGGCAGGCUUAACACAUGCAAGUCGAACGGGUGUAGCAAUACAUCAGUGGCAGACGGGUGAGUAACACGUGGGAACCUUCCUAGAGGUACGGAACAACGCAGGGAAACUUGCGCUAAUACCGUAUACGCUCUUGCGAGGAAAGAUUUAUCGCCUUUAGACGGGCCCGCGUCGGAUUAGCUAGUUGGUAAGGUAACGGCUUACCAAGGCGACGAUGGUUAGCUGGUCUGAGAGGAUGGCCAGCCACACUGGAACUGAGACACGGUCCAGACUCCUACGGGAGGCAGCAGUGAGGAAUCUUGCGCAAUGGGGGAAACCCUGACGCAGCAACGCCGCGUGAGUGAGGAAGGCCUUCGGGUCGUAAAGCUCUGUCAGAUGGGAAGAAAUGGAUGGGGGCUAAUAUCGUCCAUCCUUGACGGUACCAUCAGAGGAAGCACCGGCUAACUCCGUG